RNAcentral lists this long non-coding RNA (225 nucleotides) under Elaeis guineensis (African oil palm). RNAcentral describes it as "long non-coding RNA (EGUI_LNC077190)". Lineage: Eukaryota; Viridiplantae; Streptophyta; Magnoliopsida; Arecales; Arecaceae. The record is from RNAcentral.
GAUUGCGUCCCUCCUCACCUUGUUCGCUGCCUCGAUGUGGGCGAGGAGCUGAUGCCAGGUCUGCAAGGGUGGCCAGGAGGUCAGAAUGAAAGUUGAGAAGUUAAUUGAAUGAAGGAGCAAGGGGAAGAAGGAAAGUGAAUCUGCUUACCUCGAGAAAGGACCCUAGAGAGUCCCAAACCCACUGCUCAGGGUCGGUGCGAACGAUCCUCUGGAUGACUUCGGGCA